AGCAGCCGCGGUAAUUCCAGCUCCAAUAGCGUAUAUUAAAGUUGCUGCAGUUAAAAAGCUCGUAGUUGAAUUUCGGGACCAAUUUGUCGGUCGUGCCUCGGUACGCACUGGCUUAUUGGUUUCUCCCUUCUGAAGAACCAUGAUGUCAUUUAUUUGGUGUCGUGGGGAAUCAGGACUGUUACUUUAGAAAAAAUUAGAGUGUUUAAAGCAGGCUCACGCUUGAAUACAUUAGCAUGGAAUAAUGAAAUAGGACGUUUGAUUCUAUUUUGUUGGUUUCUAGGAUCGACGUAAUGAUUAAUAGGGAUAGUUGGGGGCAUUAGUAUUCAAUUGUCAGAGGUGAAAUUCUUGGAUUUAUUGUAAGACUAACUACUGCGAAAGCAUUUGCCAAGGAUGUUUUCAUUAAUCAAGAACGAAAGUUAGGGGAUCGAAGACGAUCAGAUACCGUCGUAGUCUUAACCAUAAACUAUGCCGACUAGGGAUCGGAUGAUGUUAAUUUUUAAUGUACUCAUUCGCGCCUUAA
Molecule: ribosomal RNA, 520 nt
Filed under: uncultured Glomus
Lineage: Eukaryota; Fungi; Glomeromycota; Glomeromycetes; Glomerales; Glomeraceae
Description: SSU rRNA
Rfam family: Eukaryotic small subunit ribosomal RNA
Source: RNAcentral